Molecule: unclassified non-coding RNA, 231 nt
Filed under: Hevea brasiliensis (rubber tree)
Lineage: Eukaryota; Viridiplantae; Streptophyta; Magnoliopsida; Malpighiales; Euphorbiaceae
Source: RNAcentral
AAGAUAAAUCCAGUAAGUGAAAGAAAAGUCUCUUGUGGCUGCAGAAUCUAGAUCAUAUGCAACUUGCACAAACAUCUUUUUGCAAAAAGCCAAUGCCAUCACUCCAUUCCAUGUGAACCACCUUCUCUGGAAAGAAAUUCUCACAACUGAGAAGUGAGAACCAAGAAAAAACAUCUUCUAAAUAUUCAGAUCCAGCAUCAGAACCUCAGACUACAUAAAACUUCACUCCAA